AUUGAACGCUGGCGGCAGGCCUAACACAUGCAAGUCGAGCGGUAGCACAGAGAGCUUGCUCUCGGGUGACGAGCGGCGGACGGGGGAGUAAUGUCUGGGAAACUGCCUGAUGGAGGGGGAUAACUACUGGAAACGGUAGCUAAUACCGCAUAAUGUCGCAAGACCAAAGUGGGGGACCUUCGGGCCUCAUGCCAUCAGAUGUGCCCAGAUGGGAUUAGCUAGUAGGUGGGGUAACGGCUCACCUAGGCGACGAUCCCUAGCUGGUCUGAGAGGAUGACCAGCCACACUGGAACUGAGACACGGUCCAGACUCCUACGGGAGGCAGCAGUGGGGAAUAUUGCACAAUGGGCGCAAGCCUGAUGCAGCCAUGCCGCGUGUGUGAAGAAGGCCUUCGGGUUGUAAAGCACUUUCAGCGGGGAGGAAGGCGGUGAGGUUAAUAACCUCAUCGAUUGACGUUACCCGCAGAAGAAGCACCGGCUAACUCCGUGCCAGCAGCCGCGGUAAUACGGAGGGUGCAAGCGUUAAUCGGAAUUACUGGGCGUAAAGCGCACGCAGGCGGUCUGUCAAGUCGGAUGUGAAAUCCCCGGGCUCAACCUGGGAACUGCAUUCGAAACUGGCAGGCUAGAGUCUUGUAGAGGGGGGUAGAAUUCCAGGUGUAGCGGUGAAAUGCGUAGAGAUCUGGAGGAAUACCGGUGGCGAAGGCGGCCCCCUGGACAAAGACUGACGCUCAGGUGCGAAAGCGUGGGGAGCAAACAGGAUUAGAUACCCUGGUAGUCCACGCCGUAAACGAUGUCGAUUUGGAGGUUGUGCCCUUGAGGCGUGGCUUCCGGAGCUAACGCGUUAAAUCGACCGCCUGGGGAGUACGGCCGCAAGGUUAAAACUCAAAUGAAUUGACGGGGGCCCGCACAAGCGGUGGAGCAUGUGGUUUAAUUCGAUGCAACGCGAAGAACCUUACCUGGUCUUGACAUCCACAGAACUUUCCAGAGAUGGAUUGGUGCCUUCGGGAACUGUGAGACAGGUGCUGCAUGGCUGUCGUCAGCUCGUGUUGUGAAAUGUUGGGUUAAGUCCCGCAACGAGCGCAACCCUUAUCCUUUGUUGCCAGCGGUUAGGCCGGGAACUCAAAGGAGACUGCCAGUGAUAAACUGGAGGAAGGUGGGGAUGACGUCAAGUCAUCAUGGCCCUUACGACCAGGGCUACACACGUGCUACAAUGGCAUAUACAAAGAGAAGCGACCUCGCGAGAGCAAGCGGACCUCAUAAAGUAUGUCGUAGUCCGGAUUGGAGUCUGCAACUCGACUCCAUGAAGUCGGAAUCGCUAGUAAUCGUAGAUCAGAAUGCUACGGUGAAUACGUUCCCGGGCCU
This 1361-nucleotide ribosomal RNA is filed under the name uncultured bacterium. Its description in RNAcentral is "bacterial SSU rRNA". It matches the Rfam family "Bacterial small subunit ribosomal RNA", at positions 28 to 1381 of the family's 1533-position model. The record is from RNAcentral.